GACGAACGCUGGCGGUAUGCUUAACACAUGCAAGUCGAACGAGAAGCUUGCUUAUGAACCUUCGGGCGAUUAGGAAAGCGGAAAGUGGCGAACGGGUGAGUAACGCGUGGGUAACCUACCUCAUGGAAAGGAAUAGCCUCGGGAAACUGGGAGUAAAGCCUUAUAUUAUCAUCGUGCCGCAUGACAAGAUGAUGAAAACUCCGGUGCCAUGAGAUGGACCCGCGUCCCAUUAGCUAGUUGGUGAGAUAACAGCCCACCAAGGCGACGAUGGGUAGCCGGUCUGAGAGGGCGAACGGCCACACUGGAACUGAGACACGGUCCAGACUCCUACGGGAGGCAGCAGUGGGAAAUAUUGCGCAAUGGGGGCAACCCUGACGCAGCAAUACCGCGUGAGUGAAGAAGGUUUUCGGAUCGUAAAGCUCUGUUAUUGGGGAAGAAGAAGUGACGGUACCCAAUGAGGAAGUCCCGGCUAACUACGUGCCAGCAGCCGCGGUAAAG
Molecule: ribosomal RNA, 498 nt
Filed under: uncultured bacterium
Lineage: Bacteria
Description: bacterial SSU rRNA
Rfam family: Bacterial small subunit ribosomal RNA
Source: RNAcentral